RNAcentral lists this ribosomal RNA (459 nucleotides) under Tetragnatha bituberculata. RNAcentral's name for it is "partial large subunit ribosomal RNA". It matches the Rfam family "Bacterial large subunit ribosomal RNA", at positions 1824 to 2610 of the family's 2925-position model. Lineage: Eukaryota; Metazoa; Arthropoda; Arachnida; Araneae; Tetragnathidae. The record is from RNAcentral.
AAACAUUUCUUUUAAAAUUUAUUUAAAGUAAAACCUGCUCAAUGAAAAUUUAAUAGCCGCAGUAAUUUAACUGUGCUAAGGUAGCAUAAUCAUUAGUCUCUUAAUUAGAGACUAGAAUGAAAGGUUAAACAUUUCCUUAACUUUCUUGUAGAUAAUAUAUAAAAUUAUAUUAAAUAUAAAAAUAUAUUUAUUCUAAAAAUAGACGACAAGACCCUUUCAAACUUUACUUAAGUUAAACUGGGGUAGUUUAAUAAAUAAAAUCUUAUUCUAAAAUUUUAAAAAUAGACCCGAAAAACCCGAUAAAAUGAACAAGUUACUGAAGGGAUAACAGCAUAAUUAAUUUUAAUAGAUCUUAUUAAAAAAUUAGUUUAUGACCUCGAUGUUGAAUUAUUUUCCUCUCACACGCAAGCGUGUGAAAAGAAGGUCUGUUCGACCUUUAAAUUUUUACAUGAUCUGAGU